GACGAACGCUGGCGGCGUGCUUAACACAUGCAAGUCGAACGGUGAAGCGCCUUCCUUUUUGGUGGGUGUGGAUGAGUGGCGAACGGGUGAGUAACACGUGAGUAACCUGCCCCCUUCUUCUGGAUAACCGCUUGAAAGGGUGGCUAAUACGGGGUGUUCUGGCCUGCUCGCAUGGGUGGGUUUGGAAAGAUUCGACCGGUUUUGGUUGUUUUGGUGGGGGAUGGGCUCGCGGCCUAUCAGCUUGUUGGUGGGGUGAUGGCCUGCCAAGGCUUUGACGGGUAGCCGGCCUGAGAGGGUGGGCGGUCACACUGGGACUGAGACACGGCCCAGACUCCUACGGGAGGCAGCAGUGGGGAAUAUUGCACAAUGGGCGCAAGCCUGAUGCAGCGACGCCGCGUGAGGGAUGGAGGCCUUCGGGGUGUGAACCUCUUUCGCCAGUGAAGAAGGUCCUGCUCUUUGUGGUGGGGUUGACGGUAGCGGGGUUAAUGAAGCGCCGGCUAACUACGUG
Molecule: ribosomal RNA, 508 nt
Filed under: uncultured bacterium
Lineage: Bacteria
Description: partial 16S ribosomal RNA
Rfam family: Bacterial small subunit ribosomal RNA
Source: RNAcentral